RNAcentral lists this long non-coding RNA (293 nucleotides) under Ictidomys tridecemlineatus (thirteen-lined ground squirrel). RNAcentral describes it as "lncRNA (ENSSTOG00000034437.1)". The record is from RNAcentral. Lineage: Eukaryota; Metazoa; Chordata; Mammalia; Rodentia; Sciuridae.
CUUUCAAGAUGGGAAGUGGCAGCUCUGAUUCUUAUCUGUUUUUCAUAGUGGCCUUCCAUGGGCAGUUUCAUUUAUAAUUCCUCUGCCAAAAUCAUUUUGAAGGCCAUUGAGUGGGUCGUCAUGUGUACUGAGCUGGACAGUUGGAUUUCCCCCCUCUUCUUGUUUAUGACUACAGUCUUCAGUGUGGCGAAAGUGGAUUAAAGAGUUUCCCCCAAAGGCUUCCAGGCAUAUCAUCCUUGCUUUUGAAUAUCUGUAUCAACAUCAAUAGAGAUAUAUGUGUACUCCUAAUUAUA